Molecule: long non-coding RNA, 86 nt
Organism: Dipodomys spectabilis (banner-tailed kangaroo rat)
Lineage: Eukaryota; Metazoa; Chordata; Mammalia; Rodentia; Heteromyidae
Exons: 3
Source: RefSeq, a predicted model, not a curated record
CUUUGCCUUAUAUUUUCUACAAUUUUUCUAUAGUAGUUUCAAGUGUUGGGUGUUACAUUUAGGUCUUUAAUCCAUAUGGAGUUGAA